RNAcentral lists this ribosomal RNA (372 nucleotides) under uncultured organism. RNAcentral describes it as "bacterial SSU rRNA". It matches the Rfam family "Bacterial small subunit ribosomal RNA", at positions 526 to 896 of the family's 1533-position model. The record is from RNAcentral.
CGUAGGGGGCAAGCGUUGUCCGGAAUUAUUGGGCGUAAAGAGCGUGUAGGCGGUCCGGUAAGUCGGCUGUGAAAGUCCAGGGCUCAACCCUGGGAUGCCGGUCGAUACUGCCGGACUAGAGUUCGGAAGAGGCGAGUGGAAUUCCCGGUGUAGCGGUGAAAUGCGCAGAUAUCGGGAGGAACACCUAUGGCGAAGGCAGCUCGCUGGGACGUUACUGACGCUGAGACGCGAAAGCGUGGGGAGCAAACAGGAUUAGAUACCCUGGUAGUCCACGCCGUAAACGAUGGGCACUAGGUGUGGGAGGUGUCGACUCCUCCCGUGCCGGAGCUAACGCAUUAAGUGCCCCGCCUGGGGAGUACGGCCGCAAGGCUA